Molecule: ribosomal RNA, 501 nt
Filed under: uncultured bacterium
Lineage: Bacteria
Description: partial 16S ribosomal RNA
Rfam family: Bacterial small subunit ribosomal RNA
Source: RNAcentral
AUUGAACGCUGGCGGCAUGCCUUACACAUGCAAGUCGAACGGCAGCACGGGUGCUUGCACCUGGUGGCGAGUGGCGAACGGGUGAGUAAUACAUCGGAACGUACCUUAUCGUGGGGGAUAACGCAGCGAAAGCUGUGCUAAUACCGCAUACGUCCAGAGGGGGAAAGCGGGGGAUCGCAAGACCUCGCGCGAUUAGAGCGGCCGAUGCCUGAUUAGCUAGUUGGUGGGGUAAAAGCCCACCAAGGCGACGAUCAGUAGCUGGUCUGAGAGGAAGAGAAGAGACACUGGGAUUUAGACACGGCCCAGACGCCUACGGGAGGCAGCGGGGGGGAAUUUUGGACAAUGGGGGCAACCCUGAUCCAGCAAUGCCGCGUGAGUGUAGAAGGCCUUCGGGUUGUAAGGCUCUUUUGUCAGAGAAGAAACACCGGCUCUAACACUGUCCGGGAAUGACGGUACCUGAAGAAUAAGCACCGGCUAACUACGUGCCAGCAGCCGCCGCCG